UGAAAUUGUACAGCAAAGCAUACCAUCAAUGCUAACUGCAAGGCCUUCAAUUGGUCCAAGAUGAGAUCUAAAAUGUUUUGCAAACUCGAUACCAGUAGGCUUUUUCUUCCAAAAUUUCAGGUGACCAUCAGUACUCCCACUAAUGAAAAAAUCUGCUGCUGAAACAGCAACAUGAGUAACCACGUCUCGGUGCAUGUAACUUUUUUCAUACAAGUUAGCAGACGGAAGUGAAUCGAGAUAAGCUUGCUCAAAUUGAAGAGGACGUUUAGCACGAGCACGAGGAGCUGGACCCGGUCCAAUAACCGUUUCGGUUUCCUCCACCACCGCCGCCGCCGGAUUUCCGUUCUCAUUCUGAUCUGCUUCCUCCAUCUCUCCCGUCGCCGUCGCCGGAUUUCCAAUCUCACUUCCGAUUUGCUGCAGAAAUUUGCUUUCUAAGUGAGAAGGAAAGUUUUUGUAAUUUUGAAAAGUGCUGAGCUUAUAAUGUAAACCAGAAAUGAGUCCCCGCCGAUUUGACUCAAAACCCG
Molecule: unclassified non-coding RNA, 524 nt
Filed under: Hevea brasiliensis (rubber tree)
Lineage: Eukaryota; Viridiplantae; Streptophyta; Magnoliopsida; Malpighiales; Euphorbiaceae
Source: RNAcentral